AUUGAACGCUGGCGGCAUGCUUUACACAUGCAAGUCGAACGGUAACAGGCCGCAAGGUGCUGACGAGUGGCGAACGGGUGAGUAAUGCAUCGGAACGUGCCCAGUCGUGGGGGAUAACUACUCGAAAGAGUAGCUAAUACCGCAUACGAUCUAUGGAUGAAAGCGGGGGACCGUAAGGCCUCGCGCGAUUGGAGCGGCCGAUGUCAGAUUAGGUAGUUGGUGGGGUAAAGGCUCACCAAGCCAACGAUCUGUAGCUGGUCUGAGAGGACGACCAGCCACACUGGGACUGAGACACGGCCCAGACUCCUACGGGAGGCAGCAGUGGGGAAUUUUGGACAAUGGGCGCAAGCCUGAUCCAGCAAUGCCGCGUGCAGGAAGAAGGCCUUCGGGUUGUAAACUGCUUUUGUACGGAACGAAACGGCUCUGGUUAAUACCCGGGGCUAAUGACGGUACCGUAAGAAUAAGCACCGGCUAACUACGUGC
This 483-nucleotide ribosomal RNA is filed under the name uncultured bacterium. Its description in RNAcentral is "partial 16S ribosomal RNA". It matches the Rfam family "Bacterial small subunit ribosomal RNA", at positions 30 to 508 of the family's 1533-position model. The record is from RNAcentral.